AACGAACGCUGGCGGCGCGCCUAACACAUGCAAGUCGAACGAGAAUCCGGGGCAACCCGGUAGUAAAGUGGCAAACGGGUGAGGAAUACAUGGGUAACCUACCCUUGAGAAGGGAAUAACCCGCCGAAAGGUGAGCUAAUACCCUAUACGCUAUCUUUUUUUCGAAAAGGAUAGGAAAGCCGGGUCGAGGACCUGGUACUCAAGGAGGGGCUCAUGUCCUAUCAGCUUGUUGGUGGGGUAACGGCCUACCAAGGCUACGACGGGUAGCUGGUCUGAGAGGAUGAUCAGCCACACUGGCACUGAGAUACGGGCCAGACUCCUACGGGAGGCAGCAGUGAGGAAUAUUGCGCAAUGGGCGAAAGCCUGACGCAGCCACGCCGCGUGAGCGAUGAAGGUCUUCGGAUCGUAAAGCUCUGUGGGGGGGAGAAGAAGAAAGCCGGUGAAGAGCCGGCCCUGACGGUAUCCCCCUUAGCAAGCACCGGCUAACUCCGUGCCAGCAGCCGCGGUAAAGUGACU
Molecule: ribosomal RNA, 516 nt
Filed under: uncultured bacterium
Lineage: Bacteria
Description: bacterial SSU rRNA
Rfam family: Bacterial small subunit ribosomal RNA
Source: RNAcentral